This 1465-nucleotide long non-coding RNA is filed under the name Callithrix jacchus (white-tufted-ear marmoset). Its description in RNAcentral is "lncRNA (ENSCJAG00000065262.2)". The record is from RNAcentral. Lineage: Eukaryota; Metazoa; Chordata; Mammalia; Primates; Cebidae.
CACACACGUUUCUUCCUACCUCAGCAAGAAAGUUUGAGGUCCCCACAGUUUCUGCGCACAUCAGGGCGACAAACGUGGACACUGUCUGGUUCACCUUUCAACUCCAAGGCCUACUCUGGGACUUCCAGGGUAGGUGUCAAAAUCGUAUUUUAAGACAAAUGCUUAAUGGCUCCAUUUCAGACAUUCCACAAUUCUCCCUCACACCCUAGGCAAGCUUAGUACAGAAAAGUCUCCGCGGAGAAGUGGAAAGGUGACAGGUUUAGGUUAUCUGUGAAUGUUUAACUGAAGGACUGUGGAUUCAUAACUCCUUUGUAUUUUUUUUUUUAAGACGGGGUUUCACCAUGUUGGUCAGGCUGGUCUUGAACUCACAACCUCCGGUGAUCCGCCCACCUUGGUCUCCAAAGUGCUUGGAUUACCAUGCCCGGCCGAUUCAUGACUCCAUUGGCUUCACACAGGUCCAGCAUGAGAAGAGCAGAAUUAAUUGUGUUGUUCCAGAGGAGCAUUCUUCAAAGCCAUCUGCUAUCAGCUGGGAGUGAGGAUUUCAGAGUCGAUCAAGGUUUCUGCCAAUGGUUGACUUAACUCAUCUGGAAUAAAAUGUGCAUAAAUGCUGGAUAAAUUUUAAAACAUACUUUUAAAUGCAUGGCAGCUCUUACCAGGAGAUAAGAGAAAUACUCUGGCGCCAAGAAUCAAGCAAGAGCAAGAAUCCCAGGAGAUAAACAAACGCAGAGGCUGUCAGCUGACUUGGGCAGUCUGCCCCUCACAGGAGGCCGGCCCUUUGUUUGAACAGCAACAAGCGUUGGCAUGGCUCCUGCAGACGGAGAACUAAGCAGGGAAAGCUGCAUUUCCAGUUAUCAAAAUAUUAUAAAGGUAUAAUAAGAAUGGUCAUAAGAGUGAGGUUUCAGCAUAGAAAGAGAGAAAAAGUAUCAAGUAGUGGAACGUAAGGAAAACCUAAGAUUCUGAUCCACAGAAACAGGAUGGGGCCAUUUAAUAUCUGAUGAGAGAGCAGCACACACACCUGCGUCACCCAGUCCACCUUAGUGGAUUACAGGAUUCAAAGCAAACGUUACAUGUUUAGAAGUACAUAGGAGAGUGCAUCCUUGGGAGUUCGGGGUCAGCAAAGAUUUUUUUCAAGAAAAUAUAAAAAAUAGGCCAGGUGCGGUGGCUCACGCCUGUAAUCCGAGCACUUUGGGAGGCCGAGGUGGAUGGGUCGUGAGGUCAAAAGAUUGAGACCAUCCUGGCCAACAUGGUGAAACCCUGUCUCUACUAAAAAAUGCAAAAAUUAGCUGGAUGUGGUGGCGCGUGCCUGUAAUCCCAGCUACUCCGGAGGCUGAGGCAGGAGAAUUGCUUGAACCCAGGAGGCGGAGAUUGCAGUGAGCCGAGAUUGCACUACUGCACUCCAGCCUGGCGCCUGGCAAUAGAACAAAACUCUGUCUCAAAAAAAAAAAAAAGAAAAUAUAAAAAAUAU